Molecule: long non-coding RNA, 2323 nt
Filed under: Triticum aestivum (bread wheat)
Lineage: Eukaryota; Viridiplantae; Streptophyta; Magnoliopsida; Poales; Poaceae
Description: long non-coding RNA (TAES_LNC004385)
Source: RNAcentral
GAUAAAUAGGUAUCACAACAGGUAAAAUCUUUGUAGCGAGAAACUAUUGUGACAAUAUUCAAAACCAUAUGUAUGAUAUGUAGAUUCAAAAAAUACAUAAUUCUCAUAACAAAUAUCCAUCAAAUGAAACUCAAAUGUAAUUUAGCCAUCCUAAUUAACUACGAAGACUAAACUAUCCAUGAUGUAGAGUCCAGUCCAACUAGUUUUUUGGAUCCUGCAAUCAAGAAAUAAAAAAAAUUCUAGUUAACGAGUCAUGUAAAGUGAGCUUAGAUAUAGGGAAGGACAACAUGAGAAAAUUAUCUUGUUCAUUGGUUGUCUUAGAUCCCAUAGUGGAAGAAGCUUUAGCUGCUCCCAAUCCUUCAUAACAAAAUGAUACUCUUAUUUUCCCUUCUUCAUCUUGUCCAAGAGUGGAGCAAUGUAAGUAGGAUUAUUCAAGAAACACUUUUUCUGUUGCACCAAUCAAUGUAAUGAUACAACAACAGUAGCAUGUAAAGUGAUAAUAUGAUAGAUAGAUGGCAUCUUGAUUUUAAUAACUAUUCCAUACAUUGGUUCUGUUUCGUCUCCCGUGAUACUCAACAAUUAGACUCACAUCUGAUAGAUGCAAUGUUAGAAGGACUGAAACUAAGAAUUCGAACUAUAUAAAAAAUGCAUGGAUUUGUGUAAUCUGAAUAAAAAAAUCAAUACAGAGUAGACGGGUUGACAUACUUGCUACUUCCUCUUGCUGCUUGGAUAACUUUGUAGUCCAAUAUGCUUUGUCCAACAUUUAGACUUUCCCCUUCAAAGACACAUUGUCUCCGAAAGUUGGAAGAUUCUAUAUUUUAUAUCCCUUAUCUUUUGAGAAAAUAUAUGUGAGUGAACCUGAAUGUGGAUGUAUAAGAUUAGUAUGAAACCACAAAAAAUGCAAUGAUGCAUACUUACAUGCAAGGCAACCAUUAUCUUUCUAACUUAUAAAAGACAAUAUAUUAAUACAACCAUGUUUGAUCUCAACUUUCUAGAGAUCCAAUGAUAGCAAGCUUGUUAGGAAAGAAACAUAUGAUUAUUUUUAGGACAAAUGGCCAAAGUUUUUAUAGAACUGGCAUGUAAUACACAUAACAUGAGAUGUUAGUUUACCUAAUUUUUUUAUUAAAUGGAGUGGCACAAUUGGAAAUAGUCGCACUUCAAAGAGUUAUAGAUCAUCUAGUUUGUUCUGCUCAUAAGCCCAAUUACAAUUAACCAUAUUAUUAAUACAUGAGCAGCAACUAUAACAUUAAAAGUGUAGGCUUUACUAGAGAAUAUUUGUGACAUGUAAUUACCUCAUAUAUUCAUAAUUAUGUUAGCGAAAGAUCAAUACACCUUAAUUUCUACAUUAUUAUUGAAAAUCUGAAGGCUGUUUCUUCUAGUAUAUAUUGACACCAAGACAUGCCUUAAUAUCUCAUCUUACAAAUUUCCAUCUUGUCGUAGAAACUAAAACAAUCUGGCAUUGAAAACUAUACAAAAACAUAUCACUACCUUAAAUGUCAAAUUUACAUCUUUUGCGCAACUAUCUCCUACAACACUUAAUCAGCAUCAUGAGAAUAGAAGAUACUUGUCGCAUGGAAGAUAUAUAUACAUUUGUAGAAAUAUAUGAGAACGUUCUAGCUCGCUGAUGACAAUUCGCCGACUUGGCCCCAUUCAUACGCGAGUACUUUUCGGCAUGGGGCGACCAUGAUGACGACAAAGGAUGGCAAUUCCUCUUUGACAUGAUCCUGCACAAAGCAAACUCCAUCUGUAUUAAUUGAUUAACAAUGAAUCAACGUACACAAUAGUUAGAAAGCUAACCAUCAGACUGAUCGGUUCUUGCUAGAUACAACACACUACGCACGCACGCUGAAUUCCUGGAUUAAUUAGAGACUUAUUAGUACUACUCCAACAUGUAAAAAGUACCACAUCCAACACACGACGGUAUAGACUAUAAAUAUAUUCACAUGCAUCCAUGGCGUGCAUAAUGUUUUUUAUGCACAAGAAUCUGAGCCCGUCGUCUAUGAUAGAAACUGCUUCUAGGCUGCCACUCGUCCUGUGAUGCCAACGACGGGACUGCUCAUGCUUGAACGUGCAGCAACAGCCAGGCGUGAGUGGACCUGAACGCAUUGUCGCCACCCCACCAAGGACAAUCCCGGCACCACUAACAUCGGAGUUAAACAGAGAUCAAAAGUCUACAGCUAUGUCAACAGCGGAUGGAAAAGCCCAAAAAAUGACUUUGGACUAACCGUAUUCCCUUACAGAUAGGUCUGAUGGAGAUCUGAAGCUCCAUGAGUUCUUGGUCUCGAUAAAGGCCACUGAUGCCGGCCUCGUCCAGACCCGCGUC